This 894-nucleotide long non-coding RNA is filed under the name Cricetulus griseus (Chinese hamster). RNAcentral's name for it is "lncRNA (ENSCGRG00015036582.1)". The record is from RNAcentral. Lineage: Eukaryota; Metazoa; Chordata; Mammalia; Rodentia; Cricetidae.
GAAUUAACACCACUGUAGAAACUAUUUCCAGAACCGAAGGUUUGGCCGACCUCUGCAUGCUGCCCUGGUUUUGGUUAAUUCCUGAUGGGCCUGACUGCUUCUCAACUGGCCAGCAUAGCCAUCCUAACCCAACAUAGUCCAUAGCUGCUGUAUUGAUGCUGGCAGCUCCAAAGUUCAUCUCUCCACCCCGUAUCACCACCCCAGUUAUUUCCCAAGCCAAUUCCACCCCUCAACUUCUAGCAAACCCACCCUGAUUCCAAAAACCACCUGGGUUACCACCAGAUCCUCCACUCCCUUCUGUUUAUUGCUGUUGCGUUUAGGUUCAGGUUGCAUAAAUAUAUAUUUAUCAAGUCUUCUCCACAGGGACUGCAUGCCCUUAUCACCUGCGAAUGUGACAAAGGCCCUGGAUGAUUUGGGAAUGAAGGCCCACGUACCGCUUCUCUGUGCUGACAGUACUGAGCUCUUCCACUGUGUCGUCCUCUACACAGCGCCCAAUGGAUAUAUAAAACCUGAAGAGAGUUCCUGAAGGUGCCAACUAGGGAAGCAAACCCCAAGAAGAGACAAGAAUGACAAGCCUCUGCAGAUUGACUUCUCUCCAUAGUAAAAUGGUUUCUCUUCAUAACAGCCCUGGCUGUCCUGGAACUCACUCUAUAGACCAGGCUGGCCUGGCCUCAAACUCACAGAGAUCCACCAGUUCUGGGAUUAAAGGUGAGUGCCACCAUCACCCAAAUAGUAAGAGAUUAUUUCUAUGAGCUACCAAGUUAGCAGCCACACAUUACUUAAUAAGCUAAUUACCUUCUCUGUUUCAGGCGUUACAUUUUUAUAGAAUUUAACUGAGUUUCCAGAAAGCAACUUAAAGAGCAGAGCCAAAUACUCAAUAAUGAUAAACAGAUA